UCUCAUAUUUUAGCUUUACUCAACCCUGGGUGUUUCUCUUUUCUUUCCUUUAAGAUCAUAGCAUUUUUUUCUUGUAGAGCUUCAAUAGUGUCAAAGGUAUCCAUUGGAGAUUGAUAAUGGUGAUGGAAAGUCCAAGAUGGAAGAAUAUGAAGUCGUAGAACAGAUUGGAAGAGGAGCUUUUGGAGCAGCUUUCCUUGUUCUCCAUAAACUUGAGAAAGUCAAGUAUGUGUUGAAGAAAAUUCGCCUGGCUAAACAGCACACCAAGAGAUGGAACUGAUUUCCAAAUUGAACAGCCCAUAUAUUGUGGAGUACAAAGAUGCUUGGGUUGAUAAGGGAAACUGUAUAAGCAUUGUAACUAACUACUGUGAAGGAGGGGACAUGGCUGAGCUUAUUAAGAAGGCCAGAGGUAUUCACUUUCCCGAGGAGAAAAUAUGCAAAUGGAUGACUUAGUUGCUGUUGUCCGUGGACUACCUGCACUCAGAUCGUGUUCUUCAUUGGGAUCUGAAGUGUUCCAACAUAUUCCUCAAUGAAGGAAAAUGACAUCCGGCUUGGUAUGAAGGCAAACGGAUUUCUAGAAAGGGACUGUGUUCUCUUUAUUAGGUUUGGAUGUCUUUUUUUGUCUUCUAAGAUAUGUAUGUCUUAUAUGGAAUUUACAGGUGACUUUGGACAAAAUUACUUAACACGGAAGACCUUGCUUCCUCGGUUUUUGGCACACCCAACUAUAUGUGUCCUGAGCUCCUCGUAGAUAUACCUUAUGGCUACAAAUCGGAUAUAUGGUCUCUUGAAAUGUACAAACAAAACGAAGUUCAAAAAGAAUAAUCAAUGAAUUAUUAGGUACUCUAUGGUUUCUGAUAUUUCUAGCUUACUGCAAAUAGAAAGCAAAGAAAGAAACAAGGGAGGCUCCAACUCAGGACCCGAGAACAGGCAAUAUGGUGGGUGCGACGCAGCUAUCUAGGCUCGGGGUAGGAGCUGAGGCAGGGGCAGAAACGGGCCGCCAGCGGCCACGAAUGCGCUCAUGGAGGUGGCGGUGACAAUGACGGCACAUGAGAUCUUCUUCAUGUCCAUGAUAUUGAAGAAUAAGCUUAUCGAGUGGUGAGACGAGAACAAAACCUAAGGAUUUUGUUUGUGAUUUUGUAUAUAUAUAUUUUUUAUUUUCCUGGCUGGUCUGAAGAACAAGAAUGAAGGUAAGGAGUAUUUUAAAGGUAGAAUUCAUGUCUAUUUUAAGCAAGAAAAAU
Long non-coding RNA from Hibiscus syriacus, 1235 nucleotides. RefSeq lists it as uncharacterized. The record is from RefSeq and is a predicted model, not a curated record. The transcript has 10 exons. Lineage: Eukaryota; Viridiplantae; Streptophyta; Magnoliopsida; Malvales; Malvaceae.